This 454-nucleotide long non-coding RNA is filed under the name Setaria italica (foxtail millet). Its description in RNAcentral is "long non-coding RNA (SITA_LNC001301)". The record is from RNAcentral. Lineage: Eukaryota; Viridiplantae; Streptophyta; Magnoliopsida; Poales; Poaceae.
GGGACCAUGCUCAGUCUCACUCUGCAUCACAGUUUAACAUGAGCAUUUUAUCAAAUAAGCGUUGAUAAAAUUAAAAAUGUGUCUAGGUGAGGAAAAUAAUCGUGGUGCCAUGAAUCCAUAGACACCAUAAAGAAGGCAAAGAGUGUGCCAGAACAAAAUAACCAAGUGGAUGGUUUUCGCUAAAGAUGGAAAGCAGCCAAAUUGAAGAGAGAAAUAAAAGAGGAUUUUGCAAACCUUGCGUUCGUGGCCUCCCACCUGACGAAAGGAAGCUGGGCAAGCCUGCUUGUGGUAGAACGUCCGCCACUCACUACGGCUCCACGUCGGUGUUCCGGUGGUCGAAGAAUUUGCACUCCAGCGGAAGCAGCGGGUCGGGUGCGUUGGCAUGGCUGCGAUAUGAUGGGGUAGGGCAUGUGCGCGAGGCCAGCGGCGUCGUGAACGCGACUGUGCCGCAAGC